CUUGUCAUUCAGGGCCUGACUCCUGCAGUGCUGUCCACAUCUGGCUUUUCUCUGCUCUGGUUACGGCCUCUUCUAAACAUGCUCCUGGUGGCACAGUGAAGGCUGGGUGAUCUUUUCCUCCCUUCCCCUCCUGCUCAUUUCCAGAGUUCAGAAGAGAACCUCAUUCUCCUUGUGGCAAACUUUUCUUGGUGCACCCUCAUUCUUAAGCCCCUCAGGUGCCCCCUCCACCUGUCCUUAGAAACUGAGCUCCCUCCAAGCACACCUUAGCCAUUAUGGCAUGGAGUCCACCUACUUCCUGUCGAGAAGUAGAGAAGCUCUGGGGGCACAGUGGUGUCCACUCCUAGUCCCAAGUGUUAUUUGUAUGAAUGUGUUACUUUGCACACAGAAGGGUCUUUGCAAACGUCAUUAAGGUUACUGAUCAGUUGACUUUCAGUGAGGAGAUUGUGCUAAAUUAACCCAGUAGACGAAUUCUAAUCCCAGGGACCCUCUAAUGCAGAGAACUUUCUCUGAUUGGAUCAGAGGCGCAGAAGAGAAGAGUCAGAGAGAUCCUGAGCGUGCGGAGAGCUUGAUGCAGUGCGGUUGGAUCUGCCAUGUGGAGCCUCACAGGCAUGGACUGAUUUCUAAGGUGACCCUCAGCCAAGAGCCAGCAAAGAAGUAGGAUCUGCCUGCAGGGAACCCAGGUUGGCAAUAACACAAAUAGGCUUGAAGAGGGCCCCUUCCGAAGCCUCCAGGUCAGAGCCAGCUUGACCCUUACCCUAAGUGCGGCUUUGAAGCCUGACUCAGAGACAGCAGAUACCCAGCUCACACCCGAUGGCCAGAGCCGUGAUCUUGUGAGUGUGUGAUUUUAAACCGUGGAAUGAGCGUAACUUGUUACAGUGGCUGUAGAAAACAGACACAGGACCCUAGUGGCUGGGAACAGGUUCUGGGCCCCUCUCCUGGGGUCUUUGCUUGUUCCUGAGGAUCCUCACACAUCCAAGCACAGGUCCCACAGUGAACAGAUUCUCCCUUCCCCCUUCCCAUCUGCAGUCGACACUCAGUGGGUUUUACCCCUCUGCUCCCUGGACCUCAGUUCAGACCCCUGGGGUGUUUUAGCAGCUUCCUGUGGGUCUCCCAGCCCUGGGCCCCCUAUUUCCAGCUGCCCCCCACUAAUGCAGCUCUGCUCUCAGGACUCAUUCCUCCCCGACAGGCAUCCUGCGCUUUGCCUCUUCUCAGUGAAACAGGUAUAGGUCCAGCAGCCUAAAAUUCACAGCCUUUCGUAGGGAAGGGAGCAUGACAUCUCCGUCCUCACCUCCCAGGACUCUCUCUUGGGCAUUUGCAUUCUUGUUUUGUCCCCUGCAUUUUCUCAGCCCCAGGAUUCUUGGGAGUCCUGCAGGGAAGGAGUCCCCAACCCUGGGCCAUGGACUGGUACUGGUCCAUGGCGUGUUAGGGAACCAGGCUGCGUGGCAGGAGGCAAGCAGCUGGAGAGGGAAGCUUCCCCUGUAUCUACAGCUGCUCCCGCCCCCUUGCCUGAGCUCCGCCUCCCCCUCCUGUCAGAUCAGCAGGGCAUUAGGUUCUCCUAGGAGCUCAAACCCACCCUGAGCUGCACAUGCAAAGGGAUCUAGGUCGCGUGCUCCUUUGAAUUAUCCUGAAACACCCUGCCCCCACUUUGUGGAAAAAUUGUCUUCCACCAAACCAUCCCUGGUCCCAGAAAGUUUGGGGACCACUGCUGUAGGGCCCUGCCCGUGGGCCAUUGAGUCCCAGCAGGCUUCCAGGAAGCCGCAGAGCUGCCGCCCUUGAGAUGUGUGGUGCCAAGCUCAGUGUCCCUGUCACACCCUAAGUGACCUGAGUAGGGCCUUCCACCAUCCCAGCUCGGUGUGUGCACAGUGCUUAGGAGUCCUGAGCAUACCUAUGCUCACACGCUGACUGGGGUACAUCCCACCGGAAGGAGAAAGGCAAGCUUAUCAUGUUAGGCACAGUGCCUGAAUCACUCAUUAAAUAGCUCUUAAAUGAGUAUUUCAUGAAUUCCUUUUGCUGUAUUUUGAAAUAGAUGCCCCAAGUACUGGAAAAGAUCCUCAGUAUUUUUAGCACACUUUUCCUGUUACAGUGUUUCUGGGUAUAGCGGCUGCUUAUGCUGAGUUUGAAGGGUGGUCCAAACUUGGCAGGUGUGUUACUGUGUUUGACAGAGUAAGACUAUUGCAUUGCUGUCAGGAUAAUUGCUAACACAUAUCAAGCACCUGUGAUCUCCAUGAGUUAGGUCAGUUAACCCUUACAGCAGUGCUUCUGACGCUGGAUUAUCCAUGUCUGGAGUGUUAUGGAUGAGGAAUCCAGAGUGCAGAAAGGUGAAGUGAUCUACUCAAGGUUAUGCAGCUGGCUGAUAGCAGAGCUGAUUUCCUUCCCAGCCAGUCGCAGUUCCACUCCUUCUAUGGCUACCAUUUCGUCCUUUGAUCAGAGGCAGGAAAACCCCCCAUUCUCGAUCGAAAAUCAUCAUUAGCAUUAUUUCUACAGUUCAUCACUAAUCUGCAACACCUCACAUAUGCACCGGGCUUUGAAAGGCUUUGCUCUUUGUUCUCUUAGCAGAGGGCGGCGGGAGGCUGGUGGGUGGGGCAAGGGCGAUUCUGUGUCCUGCAUGUGUCCCGAGUAGAAGGACCACGUCCGAGUCACAGCUGCACUGAGUCCCCCGAUGCGGAGGACUGAGGCCCAUCUCAGGCGCGGAUGCCCCCCAACCCUGCCCUCCAGGAACACAGCCCGCCCACCUGUGCCCUGGGCUGCUCCCACCCACGCCGGAGGGCUGGCCACGGAGCCCCCUCCUUGGAAGUGAGGCCUGGGCUGGGGACGAGGGCACAGCAUUUCCCUGCAAUCUUGAUCUUUGGCCUGUGGGUUUGUCCUUGGCGAGGGUCUGAGGGUCUGUCCUCAGUUGUGAUAAGAGGUCUCGCCUUUCUUUCUUCCCUCUGCUUUCCCCGAGCCAAGGAAACAUGGAAUCGGGAGGGAAAAUGGCUUCUCCCUGUUGCACCCAAGAACAGCCUGCUGGAGUCUGUGCUGAGGCUGCUGGGUGGGAGGCCCGGCCUGUCCUCAGAGGCCACGUCUGCAGCGAGGUUCUGCAGACCGAGCCAGUGCACAGCCCGGGGCCUCCCGGCUGUCUGGGCCCUGGUGGCCCCACAGGCCUUCCCCUGUCCCGAGUGCGCCUCCAGAACACACCGUGUCUUUGGCCCGGAACGGCCUCCCGCUGGGGAGCCUCGUGUCUCCCACUCCCUGUCUCGUCCACCUCCCAUCCUGUGUGACUUCAGUCAGGAUGCAGGGAAGUCCUUCCCUCAAGUGAAGACAGCCGUCCAGGUUUUCAGCCUGGGUGUUGACUUCCUCUCGAAUCCCCAGUGCUUGGACACAAGGUCAUGGACCGCACUAGAGGAGGUGAGAUGGGCUGUGCAUUAGACAGGGCUGACGUCAAGUUCAGGCUGGGCUCGGGCGGCUGGCUGUGUGGCCCUGGGCAAGCUCCUUCACCGUGAGGCUCCUUCGUCCCCGUUGGAAGCAGGAGGAAAUUGCCCCAGCAAGGCCUGAGGGACUAAAAGAAGGCAGAGGAGGGCCACCUUCCUAGAUGCCACCUCAUUAGAUGGUGGCCCGGCAGGAGGGGUUCAAGAAGCCAGAGUGAGGCGGGAGGAGGAAACGAAGUGAUGUGACCAAGUUGUUUUGCACUGCAAAGGCACCAGUGCAAAUAGGCCACGAUCCCAGAUCCCAGAGCUCGGCCCUGAGUCCUGAGGCCGUGUGCAAGGUGAACCGGACUCCCGUCUUUGUGAGGUCAAGGCCAGUGGGCAGCACCCAUGAGGACAGGGGACCUGGCCAUGGGCUCAGAGUGCCGAAAGCAGCUGGAGUCCUCAGCUUAGUAAACACGGGGCGCCAUACUCUGGCUUCCCUGUGCCUUGUUUGUCACCUGAGGAAAGACCGUCAGCCUCUGCCUGGCUCUCAGGGUACUGUAGGGGUUAGAUGAGGUCGCGGGUGCACACAGCUACAGUAGUGCUUGGUGUGCAGAGUGUGCGGGCAUUAGUUACUAUUGUCACUGACUGGCCCUCUCGGCCGGUUGUGUGUGCGUUUGUGGCUCUUUCCCGUGGGAAUGCGAACACUUCGCAGCUUUGGCGUGAUGGCUUGUCUGGCUCCCUCCCUCUGUUCUGGAACAAGAGCUCAGUGUGUUCUGAGAAACCUGCAGCAUCGCCCCAGGAGUUUAUCAACAGCAGGAACUCGGGGGCCUUCCCAGAGUCUCAGCGCCAGAUGCCAGUGCCGGGCCCUGUCUGUCUCGGCCCCAGCAGGCGCUGCGCAGCAUGUGGUGUUCACUACGUGCUGUGCGCCCUGUCUCCCCAGGGGAAGCAGGACAUUUGGGGCAGGAUGAGGGUGGAGUGGAUCAAUUAAGGUGGGGUCUUUGGCUGAACUUUACCCUGGGUUUAUGGAGCUUGGAAACACAAAAAAGGUUGCAUUCCUUUCUGUGGAACUGCUUAAUCCACACGCGCACUCUCCAGACAGGGCUGCUGCUUGGUGCCAGCGGCUUCUCCCAGCACUGCUUGCUUCCAUUCCAAAGUGGGAAGGGAGAGCUUUAGAGGGCCAGGUGGGUACUUCCUGGGCCCUCGCACUUAGGCCAUUUGUACCUAAGAUGCAACAAAGAAUCCCCAGCCGGCUUGAAACUGUCUCAUGCUAGUGCUGGUGUUCAAGUGCUGCUUCUGUCGUGGCCAUGCCUAACAGCAGCCAGCCAGGGCUUGGUGCAGACUGGACAGUCUGAGCUCAGGCUAUAUGCCUAGCACACACAUGGCCUUGGGCUCAAUCCCCAGCACCACCCCCCCCCAACAAAAACAGAAAACCCGAGUUCAAGUCCUGACUCAGAUGCUUAGCUCUGUUGCUUUUCUUCAGUAACGUAACAUCGUGGGCCCUCCCCUCUUCCAUCGGUAAAGCCAUGUGGUGAGGUGACAGAAAUGGCCCAGUGCUUCACUCAUUCUUGUAACUUGCACAGUGCCCAGUCACGUGAUUCAUUAGACUGCGCUGUUAGCAGACACCUUUGCAGCCGAGCUUGGAAAGUGUUUUGUUUCUACUGUUGAACCUUUUCCAUCAGCAAGAAAGGGGUAUUUCUGGGACAGCCCUUGGGCUCCAGCAGAGGGGUGAUUGUAUGUACAAUGUAACCAGGGUGCUGUGUCUGAUCUUGGACAAGUACACAGUGAGUCACGCCCUGGACCCCUGAGUGAGCCCAGCAGAGUUCAUCUAAGCUGACCACUCGGUGAGUGACACCUGAUACUUAUGCCACUGAGGUUUUGUUACACAGCAUUGUUUUGGUGAUUGAUACAGCAGGAAUGUCACUUAUAACUCUUGGAUGGCUUGAAUUCUGUAAGAGCAGGAUGGUACCCUGUGGACUGCCCAGUCCUUCAAAUCCGUGUUGACUGAGUGAUCUAAUAAAGAGAAGUUUGUAACCCUCUGCGGUUCUGUCUGGCAUAACACCGGUUCCCUCUGCUUACAGCAUCUCUGAUUGGGGUCACUGCUGUUUCCCAUCCACUUGGUAUCCAGCAAAGGCAGACAGAAAGACAGAAAGACAGAGGAAAUUGGAGACUGAGUAGCUAGGCUCUGGUUUUAUGCACAAAGCGAAGGCUCAGUAAGUCUUACUUGCUCCCCUGAAUACUUUGGGUCCCGAGUCCCAUGGCAAGCCUGGUAAUUCCUCAAGGGAAAGCGACUUGGAGCACAGCACAGUGAGCUGGACAGAGAGUGGUGCCUGUGUCGGGUGCUCGGUCUGUAGCAGGCACUUCUUGUCCGUCCAUUCUUGUUUGAUUCUGCAGAGAGGAAUUGAUCUGGAGGUAGAAACUCCGCUCAGAGACAGGAAGCGAGCAAGCAGAUGCACACCGCUGGCAAGGUAGCUGACGAACUCUGGAGUCCAGGGCUGCUCUGCAGCCAAGAAUAGCUUCUUUAAGCCCUUCCCUGCAGGCGGGGACCCUGGCCAGCAUCCAGGCCACACUCUGUGCAAGCCAAGCAGGGAUCCUGCCUGGUGGAGGUGACUGGCCAGCUCAAACUGCACAGUUGUCGGCGUGGCCAGGUUGCUGGGCGCCUCCUUCAGUGCCGCUGGUGUGACUCGGACCUUGUGGGUGAGUGAGCCUCACCAAAGUGCCUGGAUCUGGUUUCCACGAGGGUCUGAAUGGCGUUGGCUCUCCAUCUGCAAGGGUGCGCUGUCCAUCCUGAGCCCUGGGUCCUCUCCGGCUGCCUUUCAGGGAUCCUGGCCGAGUCAGCAGGACCAUAGGGCCGGCUGGCGGCAGGGCAGUGUAUCCUGACCACCAUCCUGGGCUGAGGAGCGAAGCCCCAGUCCGGUCCCCUGUCCCUGGCCUGUCCUCCCCAGCCUGCCAGCUCCAAGGGCGGGAAUGGGGCCAGCGCCGGGAGCUUCUCGGGCUUCUGCUCCUGCUGGCACUGGCUGGGCAGGAGCUCUGCUUGGCUGGCUGCCCUGGGCACUUGCCACCCUUGUGUGUUUGCUUGGCCAUCGGGGUGAGGAAGCAGGAUGCUUUCCAUUGGACCCUGGGCGUUCCGGGCUUCAGGGGCCAGCGGCCAGCCAGGGCGGGAUCUGCCAUCCGUGCCUCCGUCUGUCCUCUUUGUCCCUCUCCCUCUCCUACCUGGCAGGCAGUUCAUAAUCCCGCCACCACCAGAUGCAGCGGGGGAGCAGGGGGAGGCCCACUGCUGUGCAGAGCAGGAACACUGGUGAGGGCCGCCCGAGAGCCUGCCUCAGGCACCUCCAGCCUCGGAGGGAGAGGGACUGUGGCACCCCGGCACCCUUCUCCCACGCCCAGCUGCACCAUUCCCAGACCAUCUGGGCCUCGUCCACAGCGUUUGUUUGAGUGGUGGUGAGACCUCUGGCACCACUCUGCCUGUCUUUGGUUAGAGCAGACAUAGGGAUGAUUUACAAUCACCCAGGAUCUCAGCAUGACUUCCUGUUAGGGUCAGGGAGAGACGCACUCCUGGGCCGUGCUACCUUGCUGAGACAGAGGCUGGCCAUGGAGAGAGCCACUGGUGCCCUGUGAGUGGCAUAUUCCCAGGAGCCCCAUGUUCUGGGUGGGGUAACUGAGGCCAGGAGCACUGGAGCCCUACACAGGGCCUUCCCGGUAGGGUAGGCAGAGAGCACACGGAAGGAAGCCGGGCUCCCCUCCCCCUCCCAAAGCAGCUUGCGUUCCCGCUGUCUGGCGCGGGCGGGCAUUGUAGUACCCCUGGGCUUUGCUGAGGGUGCCUGCCCUCAGAGGGAACCUGGGGUGCCAGGGCUGUGGACACGGAGAGAAAGGCCUUUCUGGUCCUUGGCUCUAGGCUCGGCUCCUACGUUUUUCAGACAGGAAGGUCCCCAGGGCCAUGAUCGCCCCGCCCCACAGAGGACAGCAGAGCUGGGAGGUGAACGGGACACUGCCAUGCCUCUGGUUCACUGAGUGCCGAGGAGUGCAGGGGAUGUGCUCAGCUUUCUCCCAGCCCCGCAGCCCACAGCCUCUGUCCCCACGAGGAGACCUCAUGCGGAACGCACUCUGAGGAGAGCCUGGACGGGCGGAGGGAAGGACCUGCCCUGAGUGCCUCCUCACUGUGCUGUCUGAAGCCGUGGGACCCACCAGCCGCCUGCCUCAGGGCCUCUCUGUAAGUAGGGAUGCCAGAGUACCCAGUUCCGGCCCUGCAGAGGGCAGCGUGGAAGCCUCCUCGAUGCCCACUGCGGAUGUGGUUGCUUGGUGGGGAGUCUGCACCCCGGGAUGCUCAGGAGCCAGCUGACCCCGCGCCCUGCUGGUGUGGUCCCCUGUCCCACUGCCUGUCUGCCUCUGUUCCCCAGCUACAGAGCCAGGGGAGGAAGGGAAUCUUCCUAUAAAAUUUGAGAAACUCAGAUAUGCAGAAGAAAACUGAAAGUACUUGUUAUUCGCCUGAUAGGUACAGCCAGGAGCACACAGGUGCACACAAAAUGUCCAGGCAUCCUAGAGUAGCCAGUGUCUAAGCUACAUAUAUUUGGUAUGUUUAUUACCAUUCAUAUACAUCUUAUCCACACAUAUAUAAUGCCUGUUGUAUACAUUUCAUUUCCUGUUGGACAUUCCUUAUACAGGAUGUGAAAAAUAAUAAAGAAUAGGCGCCAGUGGUCAUAGUAACCAGUUUUCACCACUUAACCUGAGGUGGACUUUUCUCCUCUUAGGAGAUUUUUCUGCAGGGAGCAUUUGCGGCACCCGGCAUAUCACCAUAUGGAUACACCGCACCCACCUUACAGAGGAGGGGUGGAAGCUCUGAGAAGCGACACACCUGGCCUCCCCAGAUCACCCAGCUCUCGGGGCACAGCUGACACCCAGGCCUUCUCCGUGGAGGUUUCUGUGGUUCCAGGGACAGAUUCAGCAGGAAUCUAAAUCCUGUGAGAACAGGGCCCUGGGUUCCCCCAUCACCGGCAUCUCCCUGCACCUGUCACCUGUCACCAGGCAGGUUUCCUGUUAGUUACUGAGUCAACGAAAGCAGGGACUUAAAUCCCUUUCCUUUCCUGCUCAAAGCCCCUCACUGUUCGGCGUGCCUUCCCGUGUGGACCCCUUGCUAGCCUGUGUACCUCGCAAGCCUGGGACCGUGUCCGGCGACCUUUCAGUCUGAGGCCCCAAUCCCAGCCUGCCCUGCAGCAGGUGCUCCCUGAACGACAGUGGAAUAUGGAAGCAGCAGUCCAUUCUGAGCUUUGGGCCAUGCUUUCCCCACACAGUCUUUCCGACCUCUUUUGUCACACAGAGGUUAAGUUACCUGGACUCACCACGUUGGCAGCAGUCUGCCUACUACCGUUGGUCCAGGAGGAGUUGGAUGUCUGCCCCUGCCAGUCACCUGGAGCUGGCACACCUGGGUUGUUCCGGGGCAGAUCCGAUGGCCCAGGGUUAAGUAGCACCUGGAAUGGUUAUGUGGCCAGGCACCUCCCCGUGAGUCUCCCGAGUGGCUUGGCGGGUGGCUGGCAAGGGAGGGACCCUUGGCACCGCUGCCCCUUUGUAUCAGCUGCCAGCAGGGCCUUUGAUGUACACAGAGGCCACCUGCCAGCCAAGUGCACUGUGGGACACGGGCACUGGGAGGAGGGGAACUACCCAGGACCCGCCAGAGGGCUCCUCAGCCGCCACUACCAUCUGGUACAGCAGUGGGAUGGCUCGGGAGCAUUUCCCCAUCUUGCAAGGAUGGAGAUGCUGCACAGAACCCCAGUAUUGUGGAUGAGGUAUUAACCUCAAAGCAAGGUGGGGCCUCUCACUGUUCGAGCUUCCUUCCUUACAUGUUAGACUGACACAAGCAGACCAAACUCCAUAGUCCGUCUGAUGUCCUUGUGGGCAUUGAAUGCAUUAAUAUAUUUAAGGCGCCCAUAGUGUGUGUGUGAAUCCAGUAAUAGCAGCACCUAAUACUUACGGAGCACUUAAACACUGCAUUAAUUGCUUCAAUCUUCAUAACUAGGUAGUACUAUUGUCCGCACUUUAUAGAUGAGAAACUAGAGCUCAGAAAUGUGGAGUAACUGCUGCAGGAUCACACAGCCCAACCAAAGCCAGUCCAGAGUUCAGUCCCCAUGGUCUGGUCGGAGACACUGCCUUGCUGUGCGUUGCCCCCGUGACUCAGAUGGUACGCUUCGCUUCUCUGCUUAUCAUGACGGUAAAGACGGCCACCACGAUGGCAGAUGACCACGACGGUGGUGGUGGUCACGGCCCGCUUGUGUCGCAGUUAUUUCUUGUUGGGAUUUUGAAUUCAUUGCAGUUGAUCCUCAGAGCGGGCCGGGAAAGUGAGUAAGUUUAAGGUGGGAGGAGAUCGGGCUUUAAGAGGGGGACCAGAGACCUAUUGAGCCACACUGUUGAGUGCAAGGCCAGGGUUGGGGAGGCAUGGGUGGGUGCAGAGGCCACAGGCCACCGGCUGUGUGUUGACACCAGGCUGCUGGGCCCCUGAGGCCGCAGCAUGGGGAGGAUGGGCGGUCACCCCCAAUCCUGCUGUCCUAUAGAAGUUGGGCUGGUCCCUAAGGACUGGAGCCGGAGGGCGUGUCUAGACCCCUGCAGACCCUGUCAUGAAGCUGGUGAGACCCAGCCACUGUCUACUGCGUGUGACAGCUCAUUGCCCUCCCGGAGCCCUGGGAUGCUCAUAUUGCUCUCCUGCAGACAUUCGGAUCUGUUGGAUCUGUUACUUACUGCCACAGCAAGGCCGAGUAACAGACAGCAGAACCCAGCUGGCUUUCAGUAGCAGGCAUUUAUGUUCACCCUCUCGGGGUGGUUGGCUGAGUGGUCCUGCCAGUCCCGCCAUGGGGCUGGGCUGCAUGCUGGCCAGUCAGAUUCCGCUGGAGUGACUGGGGUGUUUCUGCUCCCCCAUGACUUCCAUCUCUUUUCAGGUCCUGCAUUCUAGCCAGGGAAUAUCCUUUCAUGAGAGCAGAGCCCAAGAACUUAAUCACUCCUCACAGGGCAAGGCCUCUCCAUGCUUCUGCUGGACUCGCCUUUGCUGACCUGCUUAUUGGCAAAGGCAGAUCGCAGAGCCCAGCUCGAUGUCAGCAUAGGAGGACUCCACAGAGGACACGGUAGAGGGCAAAGAUGCAGGGGCAGGAGAAGUAUUGGGACCUUGUUUGCAGUGGAUCGCAGAUGAAGGCAUCUGAGGUGGCCCUGGGACUUGUCUGAGCUUUGCUGUCACCUUGACUUCAGAGUGACUGCCUCACUCAAGAGAAGAAGGGCACGAACAGGCCCUCAGCAGAGACUGCCUGCCUGGCAGUUCACCUAAAGAGAUGACAGUCCAAUUCCCUUGCCCAUGAGCACAGGGCUUUUCCAAGGUUGCCCGACUGAGACUUGGCUCUGCCAGCGUCAGUGUCACCCGCCUGUUCCCAGUGUCCCCAACUGUGAGAGACAGCCCCACCUGUGCCCAGGUCAUGGCAAGGCGUGGCCGUUCUGCUACCCAGUGCUGCUUGGGUGCUGGAGCCUGCCAGGAGCAGAAGCUGGAGAAGAGAAAAGCGUGACAUCUUCUUACAGCCUUGGUAGAGCCAUUGAUUUCCCAAAAGCAUCUUCCCCGGGUGGCCACCUGGAUGCUGGGACACAGUGGAGACUUCUUUGGGAAACACUGAGUCUUUAGAGAAAUUUUCUCAGUUAGCAGCCUCGUAGAGAAUUGAAGCCUUUGAGCCACAGGUUAGCUGGGGCUGCCCCAGUGAAGAUACAUUUCCAGCCUUGAGGAUGAAAACUUUAGUUGGAGCUCUGAUUUUGGAACUAACCUCUGAGUAAGCCCUUUGACUUAUGUAGUGGAGCUGUCUCUCCUUUUCCCUUACUUGCCCCCACGUCACAGACCCUAAGGAGAAUAAAUGCUGAAUUAAGUCUCUGACCCAUAGCAUCGUGGUGACUCCCUUAAGAACAGGGCUCCAUUGCCUGCAGACGCUAUGUGUCUCUUGCUUGCUUUCCCAUACCAAGAAGUCAAGUCUGAGGUUGGCUUCUGGCUGGGCAUCUGAUUUGUCAGCUUACCUCCUCGGCCUUGCUGAGUGGGAGCUUAAAGGUAGCAUCUCACACAUCUUUUAUCCUGACCUCUGGCCUUAUUGAAGUGCAGAGCCUUGAAUAGUAUAUUAGUCAGGUUCACUGUCAUUGGAACACAGUGUCUGAUAGAAUUUAAAGGAGAGGAGACUUAAUUUUAUGGUUUAUGGUUUAUGGUUUCAGGCAUUCAGUCCAUGGAUGGCUGGCUCCAAGGCAGAAACUUCAUGGUGGAAAUCCAGGCAGAACAAAGGUGCUUAGUUCCUGGCAACCAGAAAGAAAAGCAGGGAACAGUACCUGAAAAGAAGGUACAAGGGACCAGACAUAGUCCCUAAGGGCAUGUCUCCAUGAAGCACCCAGACAUAUACAGAAGUGUGGUCCACCAAACCCCCAUGUAGAUCCUAAAUCCCAAUAAGCUGACACUCCACCCUAACCUCCACAAAUGGAGAGAGGUAUGAGAUACGAGAUGUCUUCUUCCUCUUCUUCCUCCUCCUCCCCCCUCUCUUCCUCCUUCCCUUCUUUCUCCACUGUAUACUUUUUCUUUGGGAAAUAUAAACCUAGUUACUUAUUUUAUCAGGUGUAGAAAGAGAAUGCCUUUCCCUCUGCAAACACUAGCAUUCCCUUCCUCUAGAAAACUACUACUAAUCCUCGAGGACCUGAUGGAAUAAUUCCUUUUGCCAGGGGACUUUCCUCUUAGCUCCAUCCCCUGUAGGGUGGAGGUGCCCAUGGUUUAUUUUGGAAUAUCACAUCACCAGGGUUUUGUUCUUGUCCAGGUAGCCUUUAUUCUAUGUUCUGGCUUGUCUCAGUGUGGUGGUAGGGAGGUCCCGAAGCCCUCUGGGGGCAGUGAUGUGACUUCUUUAUUUCUGACCCCUGUGCUUACAACAGUGCUGAGUACAACAGGAAUGUCACACUUGUGUGUACAAGAUGGACAAACACAUGUGUAAGUAGUGACAGCUUUGGUCCAGCAAAGAUCUUGGGCUCCAGGCUGCUCAGCUGUGGCUUGGGACGUGGAAUGCCAACAGGUCACAUAGACAAGGCCCGCAUGCUUGGCAAAUGUGUGGGAAGCUGGAAAUGGUCCAGCCUUAAACUUUGACAGUCUCAGGUUUGAUCCCUUUCCCUGCCAGUGAGGUUGAAUAAUUCACUUUACUCCUGCCCCAUGCCUCAGUUUCACCAUCUGUAAAACAAAUAGAAAUGUUUGCUUUACUGGAUUUGUUGCUCUUCAAGUGAGAAGACUUGGUUAUGAAGCAAUCACUCCCUUUUACUUUCUGUGUGACUUUGUGUCACUUCCCAACUUCUCCUAUCUUAGUUCCUUCAGCUGGAUCAUGUGAUCACAGUGCCUGUCCUCCUGUAUUUCCACAGCUAAAGAAAUAGUGAGUGAAUGGUGGAUGGAAAAACACGCUGUAAAAUUCUCUGAGCUGGCCACUGUGUACCUCUCUACAAGAGGCCUGCAACCCUCUGGUUCUCGGGAGAGCAGCUCCAGCACCCCCAUCCCUGCUGAGGGGGCAAAGAGGGGAGGAGGCACACCGUGCAGUCAGGGUUUCCCGUGUGCCAUCUGACCAGUCCCUGCAGCAGUGUGCCAGGAGGCGAUGGUUUGUACAUAGUGCUGCAUGGUGCUCACCUGUCUCCUGAGUGACUGCUUGUUGGGGAGCUGGCCCAUGUAUGCAACAUGUAUUGAUCACUUUUGAUCCCUUUCCUUCCUUUCUCUCACCUCCCCCGUCCAGUCCCCACCCCCAUCCCCUGAGUCGGCCUUCUUGUUUCCUAUCAUCUGUCCUUUGUCUUACUCACUUAUUUACUUAUGUUUUAGGUUUCUCAUGUAAGAGAAACCAUGUAACAUUGAACCUCCUGUGUCAGGCUUAUUUCACUUAAUGUUACGGUCUCAAGUUCAUCCACUUUCCUGUGAAAUCCCUCUUACUUGUUCUCCCUUCUUGUGAAGAAGCUUUCAAUGAAACUUCACCUGUUAAGUGUUUAUUUUCUCACUUUGUUACCCAAACGUAUCUGCCAGUUGGAGUUUCUGAAUUGGGCUUCCAAGGCUGAAUUGAUGAAAUUCUGGCAAGUGUCAAAGCAAAGAAGCUUGAUCUUUUGUUCUGUUUAAAUUUUUAUUAGUGCAUAUGAAUUACAUAGAAUACCAAGUGGAUUUUAUGUUGGCAUAUUAAUCUACACAUGUAACGUGCUUUGAUAAUUUUCACCCUCUCAUUAUCACCUCCUCCUCCUCUCUCCCCUGUUCUCCUCAUCUCUGAUGGUCUUCAAGAAGCUUGAUAUUUUAGGUGACAAUUGUGGCCUUAUUGGAAAGCAAGGUUCAAUUUCUGGUAGAUUCCUUGACCGAGCCCGAGAAGACCCCGAGGGGAGUCCUGAGAUGCACUGGAUAACUGGCUUAAACUUUCAUCUUGUGCUUUGAAAUCAAGGAUUUGGAUGACGUGUUCAUGAAGGUUCUUUGAGCUCCAGACCUCUUCUCGCCACUUCCCCCACUCAGCCACAAGCAGCAUUUCUGGUCAGCUCGUGUUAUGUAGCAUUUGCCCUGUGCCUGGCUCGCGCCUGGCUCUUCCCUGGUAAGAGGGUGUUUCCCAGACAGCUGCCUGUCCACUGCAGCCACUUGGGGGAGGCUGAGAAAUAGGGCAUAAUUUCCAGCAAGAUUAAAUGCUAAGAGGGAAGUGGGGCAUCUAACGGGCUCUGGUGCUCUGUGGAUCAUUACGAGAAUGCUGUAAAUAAUCAGGUCGCCUUUUCCCAGCCCUGCCCACUUGGACCCUUUUAGGGUCAUUCCAUCCAUCCGUGGAUAGGGCUUGCUUCCCGCUAGCCACCUCCUUGGGGACAGAUCCAUUAGCACCCUGCUCGUAAUGGUAGGCUGCCGUGUCCUGCCGUGGAAGGUUUUCUGAGAAGGUGCAGGCUGUCUCGUUAGGCCCGGUGAGAGUGGCCCCUUCUGAAACCUUGUGCCCUCAAUAGCUGGGCUGGUCCUGGGCAGCCAAGCUAAUGCUCCUUGGUAGGAAGGGUGGCGGACCCCUCCCUCCUCCAGUGUCUUCAACCUGGGCCUCCGAGCACAGAGGGACCUGCUGAUCCUCAGACCCUGCGGAGAGGGGCGAGGGCAGGCCACUGUGGAGGGAGGGGCCCUGCUCUGCACCCAGUGCCCUCCUCUGGGCGGCCAGCAGCCCUUCUUUCUCCUGGCCACCGCAGGCCUCCUUGCCUUUGUUCCUGGAUUCCUCUAGCCGUUGAUGUGUGAAAUUGGAGCCACCUGGCAGCCCCAGUUGGUAGAGGAUGCCGGGCACCUGCUCAGGUUCCUGCUUCCUCUUUCUCUCUUCCUUCAUCUUCCUCCCUCCUUUCCUCACCUGGCUGCCACCUAAGUCUUCUCCUCCUUAGUCCAAUUCAGAGAACAGCCCGGACUGCCUGCCUUGAGGAGCCUUCCCAUCCUGCCCAUCUGGCCUCUAGCCAGCACCUUGGUGCCCUCCCCUCCCCUGCCCUCAUCCUAGGGUGAUGCCCAGUGGUGUUCAUAGCCAUUGUUGGGCUUGUUCAGCUCCUGUGGGUGCUGCGUCCUUCCAGCUGGGUGGGCUUCAGGAAGUGCCCCAUCUGGGCAUCAAAGGGUGGAGAUUGCAAGGCUGUGGGGGGACUUCUAGCCACAAAGAGCUGUGGGGACUUUUGAGUAGGAGGCUCUGUUGAAAAUGCACCGAAAGUGGCAAAGGGUAGUAGCUGGACCAAUGGGAAGGCCAUCAGGACAGCUGGGCAUUGUGGUCACCUGGGAGGGCUGCAGUGGCCUGGCAAAGGGUGGGCUGGGGGGCGUGGAGAGAAGUCAUAGGAUCCUGACUGUGUCUUGAAGGUAGAAGUGGCUGGGGGGACUGGAUAUGGGGUGCAAGAGAGAAACAUCUUUAUCUCGUGCAGUUAGAGACCUAAGUUUCUUUCUUUCUUUUUUAAAUAUUUUUUUUGUUAAAUUCUUUUAUUGGUACAUUGUAGGUAUACAACACAAUUACUUUUCUCUUUGGGAAUUGUACCUUUACAUGAUGCAUCUUGGUUCUGAUUUUUUCCCUAUUCCCAGCCCUCCCUUCACCCCCUCCACUUUUCCCUAUUUACAAAGACUUUAUUUCCAUUUUUUCCAUUUAGAGACCUAAGUUUCUACUUGAACUCAGCAAGGAGAGUGGAGGUGUUUAUCUUGCUUGUUGUCUAGGUAGGGUGGAAUUGUUCAGUUUGAGAUGCUGGUCGGACAGCCAAGGGGUGAUGACUAUUGAAGAAGAGGCUAGAUGCACAAACCUGAGCCCGGAAGUCUCUUUCCUCUGUCUCCUCACCUGGGCUGUGGCACUGACUUUGGUGAACACUCGUUUAGCUGUCACUGUGAGGGGAGUUUGUUUUGUUUUGAAUGAAGUUAACACUUGAAUUAAAAGACUGAAGAAAGCACAUCACCCUCUGUGAUGUGGGUGGGCCUCAUCAAAUCAGCUACAGACUCUCAGGGCAAAAGCAGCAGCAGGAAAUAGACAUUUUGACUACAUGCUGCCUUUCAACUACAGCUGCAGAAUCAGUGCUUCCUUGGUCUCAGGCUGCCAGCCUGCCCUGCACAUUCAGGCCUUGCUAGCCUCACGGUCAUGUGAGCCAAUCACACACACACACACACACACACACACACACACACACACACACCCUGUUGAUUCUGUUUCUCUGGAAAAUCCUCACUGAUAUAUGGAGUAAAGGGUAUACUUAGAUCCCCAAAUUUGGGAUAGAAAGGGAUGUAUUUGGAUUAGCAUUUGAUGAGACAAGUUUCUUCAGCCUUGAGGCUGGGUGUAAUCACCAAACAAGCAGAGAGGAGCGAGUCAGUUGGGCUGUACAACAGAGGUUGAGAGGUUCGGAAACUUGUGGGCGGUGUGUCUUUGUGUGGCUGACUGGUCUCUUCCAGGGUGCCAGGCUCCUCCCCAUUCCGCAGUGCUUCCUGGAGGUCUGGGAAGUGAGCUCUGUGGGCCGCCUCUUCAUUUGGGUGCCUCACCCUCCCCACAUCGUGGCCCUUCCAGCUUCCUGGGUAGCGGGGAGACAUCCAACAGAAAUUGAUUGUUCCGGCAUCUUCCUUCCAGUCCAUUUUCAGUUCCGCUGCCCCUCAGUCUCUUGAGGCCUCUUGGUACUGAGUAAUCCCAUUUAUUAAAACAUAUGCAGCUUCCUUACUGGCAAGUGUUGAUAAAAAUAGUUCUGCAGCCCCAAGGGGCAGGGUCAUUUGAACUGCAUGACUCGAAAACAUUUGGUGUGAAUAAUGAAAAGUGCAGGGCCAUGGUGAUGGAUUUCCCUCGCCCUCUUUGUUCCUUCCUCUUGUUGAGAGGCAGAAUGUUUAACCCGUAUUUUCCAAGAACUGCGUAGGUGGGUUGCCAGGGACAAUUGAUUUUUUAGAGAAGUAUUGUUCUUCUGGAUGUGGAAACCAUGAAGUAAAGCAUAACAUUGAGCAAGAGUCGUCCCGAUGGCCAGGCCCGGGCUAAUUAUGGGACAGUGUUGCAAUCCAUGCAUCCGGGCUGUCCUGUGGCAUAGGUGGAGGAUCCCUUGUCUGAAAUGCUUGAAGUCUCCUGCCAUACCACCCUGAACAUGCCCGAUCGCGUCUGAAAUGCUUGAAGUGUCGCGUUUUGGACUUGUUCAGAUUUGGGAAUAUUUGCAUGUAUAUAAUGAAAUGUCUUGAGUAUGGGAAAUUUAUUUAUGUUUCAUAGAUUCUUUCUGCACACGGCCUGAAAGUAGUUCUGUACAAGAGUUUCAAUGAUCUUGUGCAUGAAUCAGUUUCAUGGCUUUACGGUUUAUAACUAGAUGUCCCCCAAGAGCCUCCUCUGCUCACUGACGGAGCUUUGGGAGGUGCCUGGAUCAUGGGUACAGCUGACCGGGACGCCUGGCCAGAGGUGGGUCACUGGGAGGCGUGGCCUGGUGGCCUGGAGAGGUAGGACCCCCUCCGCAGCCCUCCUCCUCUGCUUCCUGCCUGCCUCGAUGUGAACAGGUCUUCCACCAGGGCCCUCCCACCAUCGCUGGCCAUGGAAGGACAGGGGCUUCCAAACUGUGAGCCAAAAUAAACUCCUCCUUUAAGCUGUGAGUGUCAGCAUUUUGUCCCCGCCAGGAGUGGUGCGGAAUUUUCCAUUUGUAGUGUCAUGUCAGCACUCAAGUUUCAAAUGUUGGAGCAUUAUGGAGUUUCAGAUCAGGGAUGGGCAGCCUGCAUAAGGUCAUCAUUUCUCCCCAGGAACAGUGCUCCAGGCCCAGGAUAAUCAAGGCCUUGCUCUAGUCCACCGUCAAGUGGAUCAUCUGCUUUCUUAGGCCGGGAUGGUUCUGAAUGGGAAGGGGGCAUCCUGCAGGGCAGAAGAGACCCGGGCUCUGUGUGCGGAGCUCUGAGCUCCGGCCCUGCCUCUGCCUUGCAUGGUGACCUGGGAGAGGCCCUCAGCUCUUGGGCAGCAGUGUCUCUAUCUGUGAGGAGUUGGGUGAGAUGGCUCCUAGGGAAGGGAACCCUGAACAUGGUGGGUGCCUGUCACCAGCAAAGGAGCCACCUUCCCUGAGCCCCAGCUUGCUGCAGUACAGUAGGCAUGGGCUUUGGAAUGUGACAAAGUGCUCUGACAUUCAGUUGUGGUCAGUGAGUUGGAAGGCUCAGUGGGUGGCGCCUACAGACAUACAAAGCCCCUAGUCUCCCACAGCAGCUCAGCAUCCCUGUGUCAUCAUAGGAUUUCACAGGCUGGGGCCACGAGGCCAGGUAGCACUUUUGACUUAUGAAGCUCUGAAAUCAGGACAGGUAUUCAAGAGGCCAGGGGAAGCAAAGCCAGACUGGAAGCUGGGUCAUCACAGUGCCGAUGGAUAAAGCAUCGCACGAGGUGUGGAAGCUUUGGUCCUCUAGGCCCAGACUUAGGCCCAGAGAGGAGAAGUAACUAGUGGAGGUCACCCUGAGACUGGAGGGCAAAGCUGGGCCAGGGGCCGGUGCUCUGAUCUGAACCCUGCUAUCUCUGUGUGGAGACAAGCGAGCAAACAAAAGGAAACGCAGCGCAGUGCCUGCCACACAGUAAGGACUCUCAGAAGUGAAAUGCAGUGAUUCUGCUUGCAACAACUGACCUCGCUCCAACACCCCCUUUGGCUGGUCAGCCUCUCUGAGCCCGGGUCGUGUCUCUGACACAGCACCAGCACUUAACCUCCGUGGGACAGUGAGGACUUCUGACGUUCAGAAUAAAAUGCCAGGAGCGGGCCCAGAGCAGUCGCUGUGACUGUGGCCACAUACUGUUGUCUUUGCCAUUGUCUGUCAGCACGUUGUGUUACACUUACAUGCUACUCAUCUUUGACCCUCCUAGGGUGGGGACAGCGUGUGCAUCACCACAUCCCCACCUUCUCCCACAGUUCUUGGUAUGUGGGUGAGGGACAUGGAUGGUAAGGUCCACAAGUGGAUGGCUAAAGGACAAACAAGCAGGCUGUAGUUUGUCGGACCACUUGGCCGGUUGUCUGAGGACUGUUUCCUGGAGUCUUAUCCUCUCGCCUCAGAAUCAGGCCUAGGACAACGUUUGGUUGUCCCAUUGUUCCCAGAUAACGCGCCCUAUCUGAGCGUUUCCGAGGGGACAGCUGGGGCACACCCUACGUGGCUGCUCUAUCGCCUGCUGCAUGUGGACCCCCACGGGUGCCAGUCCGCUGCCGCAAGGACCUUUCAUGUGGCCGGGCUGCCCUUCAUUCCUCCCCUGCCCCCUGUGAAAUGUACGUAAGGAAGCAUUUUUCCCUCAACCAUUCUGUUCUGGAAAACGCGUUAAAUAAAAACACUUGGUACUUGUCUGUCUCUUCAUAGUGUGACCCACAUCUUCUAGGUUGACCUCACAAACGCCUUGUCUGAUGAGUCAACUCUUAGCCCUCUUUUACCAUUGGAGAAACAGAGGCUCAAAAAUGCAAUGACUGCUAGGUUGCAUAGCAUUAGUAAGGCAGCCCAGGACUGAGCCAGCCUCUACCUCGACCCCGUGCUUUUCCCCCAUGCAGACCUGCCCGGCUGAAUGCGUUGAUCUUCUCUGCCCUUAACUGUGUCCAGCAGGGAUUUAAGAGGUCUGUUACCAACGUAAUGACCCGGGUGCUCCGAAGUCUGCUCGCUCUGAGUGACAUCCAGACCACCCGGGAGAGGUGGGAGCGUGUGAAUCCUGGUGAGCUGUGGUGCCUUCAGGAGAUAGCUCAGCAGCACAGUGGUGGGCACUUUCUCCUCCGCCAUGCUUCCCUCUCCCGUCGGAUUUGACCCUCUUAUCAGCUGCUCUUGAAGUGAGUUGGAUGUUGGAAAUACCUGGGGAAUCUAAAAGUCCUGCUGCCGGUGCCCUGCUCCUAACUGUUUUGGUUUCAUUUGGAACCCUGGGGCCUGGGCAUUGGAAUUGACAUCUCCCCAGGGACAUGCCCGUUUUAGUGUCCUUACUCUGGGAAAUGGGGGACUAACACGAAGCUGGCAGCCCCAACCCUACUUCAGGUAGAAGUUCUACCGUUCCUAAAGCAGACUCAGCUGAAACUCGCUCCGCUUUGCUCAGAUUCUGCACAGCUCAUGUGUGGGGAGAAGGGAAGCUGAGGGCCAAGGUGACGGGAACAGUCUCCCAGCUUCGUGAGCUGUGCCCUCCUAAGCGUCAGGUGCUUUUCCAUGCACUUUGUAGACCCCACCCAGCUCCCUUUCACGCUACCCCCAUUGCACAGACAAGAAGACUAUGCAGCAUCAGUAAGUAUGUUGUCAAGGUGACGGUGCAGAGGUGAGGUCUGAAGAGCAGUUUCCUGGCUCUGGAGGCCACUCCUGAGCUACACCUGCAGCCUUGCAGCUGACCUGGGAACCGCGCUGUCCCACUGCACAUGCGCCUGAGGAUUCCCCUCACCGGUCUGUCCUGGUGCUGCUGAAGCAGAGAUGCCCUUUGUAUCUUCUGGCCAUCUGGAAGUUUUCUGGUUGUGGUCAGUGGGUUCCUCCAAGGUUCCUUGAGCUCCAAAUUGCAUAGUUGGCCCUUGCUGUGCUUUCCUGGCCUGGGCUGGACAUGUGGAUGAGUCCUGAUCUCCAGGGGAGAUUUGCGUCUCUCCUGCCUUCACUGUCUCAGGGCCCCAGAAGAAGGCUGAGUAGCUCUGUGACAAGAGCUUGGCAUCUUGCUUAGUGCUCAGCUUGACUCUGGACCAGGCCACCGUGGGCAGAGGAGGCAGGGAGGGAGGAAGGGUUUCUUAUUUCAGAAGUGAACUCUUGAGUUGUCCUAGUGCUCUUGUGGACAUGUUGGCCGUUGCUCAGCAAGCACCAAGGCCUCAAGUGGGUGGGCUGAUGGCAGUGGAGACUUUGCUACUGUUUCAGCGAGGGACACGAAGGUCUGCUAAAACGUGCUGGGUGAAGUCUUCGAACUUCCCCUACAGAAGCACAGGCGCAGGUACAGAGUGAUUCAAAAUGGAAAGAAAAGGACUCAUUUUACAUGUUCACUAGUUGGAAAUUAGUUAAUCAGGAUAGCUCUAUAAAAUGGAAUGCUGAACAGCCAUUAGAAUUGAUAAUAGAAAGUGUGAGCUGAUGUAUACAUUCACUGGUUCAACUGAGCCUACCAGAAGAUGUACUUACUUCAAAACAUCAUGCUGUGAGCUGUUAGUAAAACGUACAAUUUUUGUUAAUUAAAAAUUAGUGGCUUUAUGAACUCACAGGGAACAGUCUUGAAGAUACAUUAAUAUCAAAGAGCAACAUUAACGUUAGCAAUGUUGACUGAAUAAAGCAAAAGCAAGGCGUUGACAGCACUGUGAGGUUUGCUGACAACUCUGUGCUUAUGUGCAGUCCCUAGUCCCAUAUUGGCCCCUGAAAUUCUGCACACACAAGAGCACUCACAUAAGAGCUUUGCUGUCUGUCGCUUUCCUGCCCCAGCCGUCAGUCCUAGUGCUGACCUGGGACCUUCCUGAAAGCAGGAAGGGCUGGCCUGGCGUGCAGGGGCAUGGCAGGGCCACACCCAGAGCACCUGUCAGAUUGGUUUUCUGUGGGUGUUGGUGGAUGAAUGCAAAGAGCAGAGUUCUCUUUCACCAUUUCCUCCUACCUACUGCUCCUUGAACACACGCAGCUGGAUCUAAGUCCCUUCUCCCUCUCCCAAGUCCUGUCCCUGCCUCCACUUUGUUCCUUGAGAUUUUCUCCUCCACAAGGCUUCCUCACUGUCUCCAGGUUACAGUGAAGCAAGGAGGAGAAGAAACUAAGCAGACAUUGUCAGUUAGGUAGGGCGGGUCUGACUUAAUUGAUUAAUUUAGUCAUAGGAGCCAAGCCAACCCAGAAGCUGGGAUCAGUCUCCCCCUGAUGGUGUGCUGGUGAGUCAGACUUGCUGGGGUUUGAGUCCACAUGGCUGUCUGUGACUGUGGCUGGGUUAUUUAACCUUGCGGGAUCUCCAUUUCCUGAUCUGUAAAGAAGGCUAAAAGUGCUUCUCUUGAGGUUGUAGUGCGGAUUAAAUGUGAUAACACGAGUGAAAGUGCCUUUGAUGCAGAAGGAAGGGCAAAGUGCUUAUUGUGUUGGGAGCAGAGUGAGAGGGCCCCAUUGUUCUCAGGGGCCUCCUCCUUCCUAGGUAGAAGUCUCAUUCCCAGGGCAGAAAAGGUUCUCAUUUGGCUCUCAUUCUUUCAUGCAGUGCCCUUCUCUCAGCCGCUUUCUCUCUUAGGUUUCAGCCUAAGCAAAUAAAUUAUCCUGCUCUACCGGGCUCUGUGUUCUGUAGCCAGCCAUAUGUUGGAGCUUGAUAGAGAUUGUUAUCGGGCCGGAUAAUGUUACCCAGCAAGGGGUGACAUUUCUUAUCAGAAGCCCUGCCGAAUCAGAGAUAGGAGGGCUUUCUUUUCGCUGGCCACCAGGUCUGUGUGCAGGGUUGGCAGGGAAGUGUGAGAGGAUCCUCCUGGGAGUGGACAGCCGGGGCCGUCUCGGCUUGGGUUGUCCUUCGUCUCCUGAGACAGACACUCUGGAUAGCCUGCCUAGUUGGAAGUAGCCCUUCGGAGAUCUUUUGUGCUUUGGAAGCACUUGCUAGAGACCAGGUAGGGGAAUGUGAAUGAGGAAGCGGGAAGUGCUGUGAUGCUGGCCCGGCCGUGGAUGGAUGCUGGCCUUUGCGGGACCCUCCCCUUCCUGGGACAGGCAGACAGGCCCCUGCCGCAGAGCGUGGCCUGCGAACUCUGCUGUGGCUUUGCAAGGCGGAGGCUGCUGAGCCCUGGUGCCCACCAAGGGCUGGGCUCUUGUAGUGUUGGUUUCCGGGGGGCUCCCUUGGGCCCCGCCAAGCCCACCCCAUCCUCCUUGGCCUUCUUCUGGCCUCCUUGGCCAUCCUUCUCUGGCCUUGUUCCAGGUCAGCCUGUGUAGAUGUCCUCAAGGGCAGAUGUGACCUGGGGCUCCUGUACUUCCCAUUUGGGAGGCACUGGCUGGAUGGGAAGGCAGCAAGAGAGUGGGGGCCAGGGUUUAUUCUUCCUUUGCUAUCCAAUGGGUCCCUCACUGUUUCUAUACAGAAGACCUUGGGUGUGAAUCUUGAUCCUGGUAUGGGUUUGCUAUGAUAUCAGGCAAGUUGGGCCUCUUUCUACUUCAGUUCUUCAUCUGCGGCCUAUGGAUGACAUUACUUUCCUCUGUGUCCCUCAGCACAUGUUUCUGGGUCUUGUUGAUCUCCAGCUUUGCAUUGGCCCUGGGAUUCUAGAGCAAGGGGCAGUGCUGAGCUCCCAGUGUUCCCGUCUUGAGAUCAGAGCUCAUUGCACAUGAGAGAUCCAGGAUGGGCAGAAGAGAUUAGAGUUCACCAUGUGAUUUGGAGCUGCAGUCUGUGUUGUAGACACAUGCUCAGGGCUUGUCCCCUCCUGAUAUUUUGGGAAGUCCUACCCUGUCCAGUCCUGCUGUCAAGUAAUAAUCUGCUAUCAUCAGAAAGGGAAGAAGAAGUGGUUUUUGUUCCUUCCUGGAUCAUUCGAGUCAGCACUUCCUGCCUCUGCUUCCUUCCUGUUGACCUGAUGAUCCCUGAGGCUUGGUUUGUUCCAUCUCUUUUCCCUCCUAUCCAUACUGAGCUUUCUAUUAGGGGAUAGAGAUUUUCUGUCUUACUGACUUUUCCUUUCUCUCACAUGUCUUCCCAUUGGCCAACUCAAGAUUUUGAAAGCAGGAGUCUGACUAUGUCCCUCUCCAGCUCAGUCACAGUCAAUAGGACAGUCACCCCCAGGACUGAAGUCAGACCUUUCAGUAUAGCACUCACGGUCCACUUCAACAUGAGCUUACCCAUCCUGAUCACCUCUGAACCUCUUGUAUCAGGUGUCAGUCCACUUAAGCAGGUUUUACCAAGAGGUAAAACCUUUAAACCUACCACUUUUUCUCUGUGACUUCUGGGCUUUGAUCCCAUCAUUUCUUCUCCUGUGGAUGCCUGAGAGGUCUACGGGCUCUGGUUGGGUUCAGACUCCAGCGCCACCAGUUGCUGGCUCUAUGGCCAUGAGCUAGUCACUUCACUGCACUCCGCUGUCUUUUGGUUGCUGUUUGUAAUAUCUUAAGCCUGUCUGUAUGUCCUUAAAUAUGCAGAAGCAAGUUUCUUACAUCCACCGUAUCGUUGGAUCUUGUUUUUAUUUAUCCAUUCAGCUACUCUGUAUUUGAUUGGAGAAUUUAACCUAUUUGCAUCCAAAGUAAUUACAGAUAGGCAAGGAUUUAGGAUUGCAAUUUUUUUUUCUGGCUAUUUUAUAGUUCCUUUAUUCUUUUUUUCCCUCUUGUACUGUUUUUCUUUAUGAUUUAAUGUGGUUUUUUGCUUGUUUGUUUCAGUAGUGUGCUUUGAUUAUUUUCUUCUUGAGUAUCUACUAUAGGC
This 24103-nucleotide long non-coding RNA is filed under the name Heterocephalus glaber (naked mole-rat). RNAcentral's name for it is "lncRNA (ENSHGLG00100034546.1)". Lineage: Eukaryota; Metazoa; Chordata; Mammalia; Rodentia; Bathyergidae. The record is from RNAcentral.